This 253-nucleotide ribosomal RNA is filed under the name uncultured bacterium. RNAcentral describes it as "partial 16S ribosomal RNA". It matches the Rfam family "Bacterial small subunit ribosomal RNA", at positions 524 to 776 of the family's 1533-position model. The record is from RNAcentral.
UACGGAGGGUGCAAGCGUUAUUCGGAAUAACUGGGCGUAAAGCGCACGCAGGCGGUUUGUUAAGCCAGAUGUGAAAGCCCCGAGCUCAACUCGGGAACUGCAUUUGGAACUGGCAAACUAGAGUCUUGUAGAGGGGGGUAGAAUUUCCAGUGUAGCGGUGAAAUGCGUAGAGAUUGGAAGGAAUACCAGUAGCGAAGGCGGCCCCCUGGACAAAGACUGACGCUCAGGUGCGAAAGCGUGGGGAGCAAACAGG